This 468-nucleotide ribosomal RNA is filed under the name uncultured bacterium. RNAcentral describes it as "partial 16S ribosomal RNA". It matches the Rfam family "Bacterial small subunit ribosomal RNA", at positions 28 to 507 of the family's 1533-position model. The record is from RNAcentral.
GACGAACGCUGGCGGCGUGCUUAACACAUGCAAGUCGAACGGAAAGGCCCUGCUUUUGUGGGGUGCUCGAGUGGCGAAUGGGUGAGUAACACGUGAGUAACCUGCCCUUGACUUUGGGAUAACUUCAGGAAACUGGGGCUAAUACCGGAUAGGAGCUCCUGCUGCAUGGUGGGGGUUGGAAAGUUUCGGCGGUUGGGGAUGGACUCGCGGCUUAUCAGCUUGUUGGUGGGGUAGUGGCGUACCAAGGCUUUGACGGGUAGCCGGCCUGAGAGGGUGACCGGCCACAUUGGGACUGAGAUACGGCCCAGACUCCUACGGGAGGCAGCAGUGGGGAAUAUUGCACAAUGGGCGGAAGCCUGAUGCAGCAACGCCGCGUGCGGGAUGACGGCCUUCGGGUUGUAAACCGCUUUCGCCUGUGACGAAGCGUGAGUGACGGUAAUGGGUAAAGAAGCACCGGCUAACUACGUG